Phyllopteryx taeniolatus (common seadragon) is the source of this 6084-nucleotide RNA transcript. It is a transcript of the gene named zinc finger DHHC-type palmitoyltransferase 18a, with no coding region annotated. Lineage: Eukaryota; Metazoa; Chordata; Actinopteri; Syngnathiformes; Syngnathidae. The record is from RefSeq and is a predicted model, not a curated record. The transcript has 11 exons.
CUACUUCGUGACGUCGUUUCGUGAUCUACGGAAAGCGAGAAGGAACUAUUUUUGCCCUGCCGCAUCAAGCUGGACGCGAAUCUCGUCUGUGCUUCCUUUCGGUUUAUAUUCUCUGUAAUUGUACGAGAUUUUUACGACCAUUAGCGCGCAUUUGUCGAUUAACUUACGAAGAUGGUAACGGGCCUCGGGCUGACUGGAUUUUAUAUCGUAAAAGUCAAUUGAGAAGAAGAAUGUCUGUGCAGGUUUGCUAGCCACUGUUAGCAUUGAUGAUGAGAACCAUCGGGGGACGCUAACCCCAACAAGCAGCCGUCACUUUUUGCCAUGACUCAACCCUGAGCUCGUUUUUCUUCUGGAAGCCCCACUGAGAACAUAUCGUCGGUCGUGCCUUUAUAUCUCCCCAGCGAACUCCAGGAUGAGAAACUGUGAGUACCGGCAGAUCGACCCGCUGGCGCUGUCGGCGACACCCGCUUCUUCGGCUCCGCAGACCACCGACAAGAAAGCGGAGCGGCUGCGGCGGAAAUGGGAAGUGUUCCCGGGGAAGAACCGAUUUUUCUGCGACGGUCGUGUCAUCGUGGCCAGACAGAGCGGCGUCCUCCCGCUGACACUGGGGCUUAUUGUUGUCACCUGUGGCCUUUUCUUUGCAUUCGAUUGCCCAUUCCUGGUGGAACAUCUGACAGUCUUCAUCCCAGUGAUCGGCGGGGUGCUGUUUGUGUUUGUGGUCCUCUCCUUGCUUAGAACCAGUUUUACAGACCCAGGCAUCCUACCCAGGGCCACCUCAGACGAAGCUGCAGACAUAGAGAAGCAGAUAGAUACCUCAGGAGCCUCCUCGUAUCGCCCCCCUCCACGGACCAAGGAGAUCCUCAUCAACCAGCAGGUGGUCAAGCUCAAGUACUGCUUUACGUGUAAAAUGUUUCGCCCUCCGCGGACGUCACACUGCAGCCUUUGUGACAACUGUGUGGAGAGGUUUGAUCAUCACUGCCCGUGGGUGGGCAACUGUGUGGGCAGGCGGAAUUACCGCUUUUUCUACAGUUUCAUCAUCUCCCUGUCUUUUCUGACAUCUUUCAUAUUUGGCUGCGUCAUAGCACACAUUAGCUUGCGUUCUCAAUCGGGUAAAAGCCUCAUCCAAGCCAUCCAGGAGAGCCCUGCCAGUGUGGUGGAGCUGGUCAUUUGUUUCUUCUCCAUCUGGUCUAUUAUGGGCCUCUCAGGCUUCCAUACCUACCUAGUAGCCUCCAACCUUACUACCAAUGAGGAUAUUAAGGGGUCCUGGUCAAGUAAAAGGGGCGCAGAGGACUCUGCGAACCCGUACACUUACAACAGCAUCCUAGCCAACUGCUGUGUGACGUUAUGUGGGCCCAUGCCCCCAAGCCUGAUUGACAGGAGAGGCUUCCUGCCACCUGAGGAGUCCGUCCCCGCUGCUUCUGCCUCAGAGAUCGAGCUGCCUUCCUUCGCAGCCAAGAAUGACACGAAUGUGUGCACACAGAGCACCAAAGACGUGCUCGAGAGGAUGCUCUACUCCUCCGCCUUUCACGGUCUCUGCCUUCCUGGCACCCCAAAGACGACCCUUGUGGGCCUGGAGGUCACCAGUGUCCCGGGCCGCGCACCGGAGACGUCACCCACAGCGAGAAUGAUUUUCCCAACUGCGGUGACAGUAAAUCAGCGAUAGUUGGCCUCAUGGAAACAGUGAGGAGGCGCAUGUUGAGCACACGUGUUCAAGGGUGCGUUUGAAGUUUGAUUUCACAAUGUGGACAACAGGCGCCCUCAAAGUAAACUGCAAGACAGUGACAUCAAGGGAAUGCAAAAGAACAUCCAAAGAAAUCAGCCAAGAUAUCAGGAAAAGAAUUGUGGACUUGCACAAGUCUGUUUCAUCCUUGGGUGCAAUUUCCAGAUGCCUGAGGGUGCCACAUUCAUCUGUUCGAACAAUUAUACGCAAGUAUAAACACCAUGGGAAUGUCCAGCCAUCAUACUGCUCAGGAAGAAGACAGGUUCUGUGUCCCAGAGAUGAACGUGCUUUGGUCCAAAAUGUCCAUAUCAAUUUAAGAAGAAAAGCAACAGACCUUGUUAAGAUGCUGGCUGAAGCUGUUAAGUGUGUGUCAUUAUCCACAGUGAAACGAGGACAUUGCUGACAUGGGCUGAAAGGCCACUCGGCAAGGAAAAAGCCCUUAUUACACCAAAAGAAACCAAAAAAAGACAGAUCACACAAGGGCAAAGACUUGAAUUUUUUGGAGACGCGUCAUGUGGUCUGACGAAACUAAAAUUGAACUGUUUGGCCAUAAUGAGCAUCGUUGCAUUUGGAGGAAAAAAGAGGGAAGCUUGCAAGCUUUCUGCAACUGAGUGAGCAAAGUACUGGGUGAAAAGAUGGGCCGGGUUGACUGCGAGAAAGCUGAUGGAUGCUGAGUCACUAUAAGGGCAUGACCAGACAUAACACAUAGCUCCCUAUGUUUGCCACGAAAGGGAUAAUGUUCCCUAAAGCUUUUGUUACCGAAAAGGAAGUUGAUUGCAGAAAAUCACUGCAUUUGACAAAGGGAAAUGUACAGUAAAAAUCUGUGUGCGUGUGUGUGUGUUUAUUUUUUUCCUGACUCUAAAACAUGACGUCGGAUGUCUGAGCUCCAGCUGCUAUUCAAAGCCUUGCCGCUUAUAACGCACAGCAGCUUUUGGCCAUGUGUGCUUCGUGUGCCUUUUUUCCCCCCUGCUGCUUGUGAAAGUCAAACCUGCCCCACAUAACAUGAAUCUUCUGAACUAAUGACAAACCGCAUCUCACCCAGACGUUGCUUUCUUAUCUGAGGAUAAAUACUGUGCUCCUCUUGAGAUACGAAUGACCCGACUUGGGAGUUUUUCGAGAGACGACCUGUCAUCCGGACGAUUAUUAUUAUUAUUAUUUUUUGCUUUGACUUGCGAGGAAAAAAGUUGAGAUAUGAGCGCUGUAUGGUUGCAGUGAACUUAACUCACUUCACAACAAGCAGAAGUUGAGCAGAUAGUGACCAAAUCUGUAAAAAUAACCUGUUUAAUACUUGGAAGUUUGCUGUCACACUAAAUUGCACGUUGUGUAUUUACAACAACCACAUAACUUUGCCUUAAAAUCCGCUAGCUUAAUGCUAACACAUACUGGGAAACACCAAAGAUGGGCUCACGAAUAAUAGCCUUGCUGUUGUGGUGUUAUAACCCUUCAAACAACGAAUAUUUGGACACAAAUGCUGGAGCAACACUUGGACAAAUAAUAUAACAAUGCUCAGAGCCAUGCAUUCUUUAUCCUCUGUGAUGGGUUACUGAGGAGAUGUGACCAGUUCCAUGUACAGUAUAGCCGUACGUCUGUAUUAUAUUAAACCCAGGUGGCCAAGGCGCGCACAUCAGAAGGAGCACCACAAUUCCCAUUGAAUUGAAGCAAAAACUGUGGCAAAAGCUGUUUCAUUUCUUUACAUUCUAUUUAAUUAUAAUUGUUUUUUUCAUCUGUUAGACUACGACUUCCGCGUUGGGCACCGUUUCCUCCAAUCCAACGUAAGCGCUAGUGACGUUUGGCUAUAUCAAACGACACAAAGUAGUCACAUGACCGCACACUAUUGGGCUCCGCGAGCAUACUGUAGAUAUAAACACUAGAAACGCCAGCCCGGCUAAUCGACGUGCCUACGUGGCGGUCAUGUUGGGAAGGUUGUUGUUCCCAGAGAAGGCAACGGUGCGCGACUGUUUACAUUUCAGAUGAGCUCCCAUGCAUUUUAGUAUUUGUCUGGCACUGUCUGCCCAAACGGGGAUAUUCCAGCCCACUUCUUUAAGAUGAGAAAACCCAUUGCGGUAAAUUGCGGAUGUUUUGGUUGUUAUUUUGGCUGUACAUUUUAGCCCAGAUUAGCCCUAUUUUAUGGUCAUAAAAAGUAAUGGUAAAACAUGCAUCUUUUGGGGUAUGUGCUAAUCACGCUCACACACACACACACACGCACACACUGCGCAUUCACGUUGAGGUUUUUGUACUUUAUUUAAGGUUCAUGCUAACUAAAUCAAGUUACCCACAAUUUACGCAGUACUUUCCACUGAGUACUUUCUUACUCAAGUAAUUUUUGGGAGGACGACUUUUUACUUUUACUUGAGUCACAUUACUUUCAAAUGACAGUACUCUUACUUGAGUACAAUAUUUGGCUACUCUACCCACCUGUGAUUAAUCUAUAAAUCGGAUUAAAAAAGAAAUUAUGAAUUUUCAUCCCUUUAUUAUAAAAAAAACCCCAGGACUUUGUUUCAAAUUGUCAGUGAAGAAAAUGCACAAACAUGAAUUGAUUAUGAUUCAGCUACUGGUUAAAUAGGAAAAUAGGCAAAAAAUGUUGAUAACUGAUUUCCAAAGUGAAAGCAGAUGUUUGCAAAUGUCUUCUUUUCAUUAAACACAAAGCUGAUCAGACUACAGAAAUCUGAGAAUAUUAACUGGUGAGAGGCUGAAAUUCCGAGGAUUUGGACAAGCUUAAGUUAAACAAGGUCUAUACGUGAUUAGUCGAUUAUCUAAAGUUGUUGAUUAAUUUGAUAAUAGAUGAAUGGAUUCAUUGUUGCACCUAUAGUUAUGUACAGUAUAUGUUGACGUUAUGAUGUGGACCGUGUGUUUUGAGCUGCAAAAGUUAGGGAACCCCUGCUUGAAGCACGUAAUGGCAUCCAGAUGGUUCCUCACGAUGUAGCUGACGCAUCCCCAGGGGGCCCCCCUGGAGGUGAUAUAUACAAAAUGAGGAUAAUGAGCUGAGAAAUGUGCUGCGACAGAUUUAUUUAUGUUUUUAUAUAUUUGUUUUACUGCUUGCUCACUUGGUUGGCUGUUAAAACUGUGAGGUUGGAAAAAUGUGCUUCUGCUCUUAAAAAUCAUUUAGCCAACCUGGACUGGGAUGAUCCUAACAGAUAUGGCUUGUGGGGAAUUUAUCUGGAAAGAUCCCACUGAUUUGAGUGGCUCCCGUAUUUUGCUCGGGCUCAGAGUUGGUCUCCCGGCGCCGGGAGGGCAGCGGGGUGCGGGAGUUCUGGGAAUGAAACCGGAGCUCCCUGCUAAAUAGGGGUUCCCCUCUCACUUCUGGUAAACUCUGCAGAGGUUGAAAGGAGUCUGGACUCCCCUUCUGGAAGUUUUUCAUAUGCAACGUCUCGCAGCGGGGUCACGUGUUGGGAAAACGGCACAACUAGUAUAUUUUAUUUUUACACUUUAAUGAUAUUCUUGGCCCGGUGUCUGUGCUUUGCGGAUAGCUGUACGGAAGGGUCAUAUACGGAGCCACGUAGGGCGAAAAGUAAAGCGACAUGGGGUUUGUUUUCUAAAAACACUUAUACAGGGUCAUUAUGAGACGGCUGUACAGUAUGGUUUGCCCUCCUGUUAAGGAAUCUGUCCAAGUAAGAUCCCAGCCAAAGAGAGCGAGCUGAAGGACUUUUAAGAGCGAAGCAAUAAAUUCCUCUCUUUGACACAGCCUCACCUAUAACUCAUUCGUCCACAAUCCACAUAUGUGCUUGGCGAGCUUUUUGGCUUUCAGUGGGAAAUAAAGCGACAUUUGACACGAAUAAAAUAUGGGCCUGACACACAGCCAGAAUCUCUUCACUCCUCUGAUGUGCCGUAGAAAAGCUGCAGAGUUGAUUUAUUGCGAAUUUCAUCGCAACUUCUAAAGGAAUUUCUUAUCUCGCUAGACCACUGUUUGCUUUCUUUCUACAAUGGCCUCACUUUGCGGAUAGCUGUACGGAAGGGUCAUAUACGGAGCCACGUAGGGCGAAAAGUAAGGGUUCAAAACACACAGCUUAUAUUCAAAGGGUUGUUUUUCCCCCCCGUCUCCUUUCAGCGAGUAAAAUUAACCGGUGUUACAUAAUACAUAGUCCAAAGCUAUACUUGACCGUUGAACUUUAGAGCACUUCAACUAUGCAAUAACAAGUCAAGACUGUGUGGCCCUCCAGAGCAAAGAAAUAAACUAAGUAAAACAACAAGAAAUGUAAGUUUGACAUUAAACAUAGUUUUUACACAUUUUGUAAACUCAGUAUUUGAAAUUGAGCGAUAAUUGGCGGUGUUAUUAGGCUUCAAAAUGAUGUGAAUUUUUUUGGAACACCCAGUAUGACUAAAAAAUUAAAAAAGUAUAAGAAUAAAAUUAAAAAUAGGAUUAACUC